UCAUGGAUAUAGAGCAAUAUCACGAAUUAGUUUGAGCUAAAUAUCGCUAAUUUUUAGUUUUUAUUAAUAAAUGUCGCAAAAUUUCGGAAUAAGCGAUAUUUAGGGGUGAGAUGCCUACAAAAGCUAAGAUAGCUUGAUACCUUUAAAAAGUAUCUAGUACGUUUAUAGGUGCGCAGUGUUUAGGCUUCGCAUAAAUAUUAAUAAUUAUAAAACAUCCAAGCAAAGUUUAAUAACUAACUUUUUAAAACAGCUACUAUAGAGAAACCUAAAAUUGUAUUGAGUAAAAGGUUGUAAAGGCAACUUAGGUUUUUAUUAAUAAUGUUUUUAUGAGUAUUUUAAGAAGGCCCCUAUAAAGAACUCGGCAACAACCCUCUCAACUGUUUAUCAAAAACAUAACUGUGAGACUUUAAUCAUAGCUUUUUCUGCUCGGUGAUAUUUUAACAGCCGCAGUACCCUGACUGUGCAAAGGUAGCAUAAUCAGUUGACUCAUAAUUGGAGCCCGGAAUGAAUGAAGAAAUGGGGGGGUGCUGUUUCAUGGGGGGAAGCAGAAAUUAAUUAUCAAGUGAAAAUGCCUGAUAUAAAAUAAUAGACGAGAAGACCCUAGAAAUUUUUACAAGAUUAUAGAAAAUGGCGUUUUUGUUGGGGCAACAAAAUAACACUCAAAACUUAUUUAUAUUGAAUUUGAAAAUUUUGAUUUGAUUAACCAAAUUACUCUAGGGAUAACAGCAUAAUAUUGAAAAGUUUGUGACCUACGAUGUUGGAUCUAGGGAAUCUAAGUUUAGAAGGGCUGAGUUGUGUGCUCUGUGUGGCCCC
This 813-nucleotide ribosomal RNA is filed under the name Landouria rotatoria. RNAcentral describes it as "partial 16S ribosomal RNA". The stretch from base 370 to 525 matches the Rfam family "Archaeal large subunit ribosomal RNA", at positions 1884 to 2089 of the family's 2987-position model. The record is from RNAcentral. Lineage: Eukaryota; Metazoa; Mollusca; Gastropoda; Stylommatophora; Camaenidae.